UCCCUGGUGGUCCUGGUUAAGACUCUGCACUUCCAUUGCAGAGGGCACUGGUUCAAUUCCUGGUCAUGGUA
This 71-nucleotide transfer RNA is filed under the name Bos taurus (domestic cattle). It matches the Rfam family "tRNA". From Rfam's summary of the family: Transfer RNA (tRNA) molecules are approximately 80 nucleotides in length. Their secondary structure includes four short double-helical elements and three loops (D, anti-codon, and T loops). RNAcentral also lists the same sequence under 1 other name. The record is from Rfam by way of RNAcentral. Lineage: Eukaryota; Metazoa; Chordata; Mammalia; Artiodactyla; Bovidae.